Pogona vitticeps (central bearded dragon) is the source of this 1405-nucleotide non-coding RNA. NCBI's taxonomy places the organism in Eukaryota, Metazoa, Chordata, Lepidosauria, Squamata, Agamidae. The record is from RefSeq and is a predicted model, not a curated record.
GGCGGUAAUUCUGGCAGCGGUUCCUGUCUCUGGGGGCUUUCAUUUCAACAUUCUGUCUGUGAGUGGCUGGCUCGUUCUGUGUGCAGGGAGUUUCUGGUGGGAUGGAACAAAAAGAAGUUUCCUUUUCGCCCAUCAAGAGCAAGGCAGGAAGAACAGACACAACAAAGCAAAAGAACAGUGUCAGGCAGUGGACGGAGAGAGAAGACAGCAAGACAACCCUAAAGAAAAGAUGGCUGCUGUCGUUGCUGGUCUGGCCCGAGUCCUUCAGCCUGCCAUGGCACUCCCAGCGGGUGGGCCCGGUUGCCAUGGCCUUGCCCCCUGGUAUCUCCUUUUGGGUCUACGCCUGGUAGCCCUUUUCAUUGCCGAUGGUCCCUGGUCCUCUGUCAAACCUGACCUGGCUUGCAAUUGGACCUCAGCGUCUUCAGACACUCAGCCUUUUUGCAGCACGCUCUGCUUCAACCGGCACUUUUCUUCGCCCGUUUCCUCAGUGUGGGGCUUUGCUUUUCUGGCUGCCAUGCUCCCGGUGGGACUAAUGUGGCUGCUAAGAACUGGACUGAAGCAUGGGAAAAAGGCAGCAAAGGCAGGAGAUGAGGAACGGGCAGAUAACUCCAGGGUGAGCCACCACAUGGCUGACGAAAUCAACACGGCCGCUGGAAAAAUUCCUCCGUCCGGUGUGUCUGCUUUCAGAAUUGACACAGUUCAACCAGAUUCCAAGAUGGCUUCUUGCUGCACCUGGCAUUCAGUGGCGUUUGGUUUCUGUGUGAUUCUGCUGCUGGUAAUGGAGCUGUGCUUCCUCUGGGUUGUAAUAGCUCUGCAGCUCCCCUCAGUGUCAGAGACGACGUUCUUGUGCCUUCCGGGAGCACUGAACUGCCCCAAGGCCCUUGAAUGUGCUUUGGCAGGCCAAGCUGACAAGCAGGUGGCAUUGUGGGCACUGGCUUUCACAGCCCUGGUUGAUAUGGCUGCUUGCCUCGCCUACCUUAUCUCGAGGUUAGCGAAGGCUUCGAGGUGCCACAGAAGGUAGCAACACAAAUGAGGAAGAAUACUAGAAAACUGGACUCCAAAGGUGGAGGAUGAAAAAGACUGAUGCAGCAGCACACAGUUGCCAGCCGUGACGCUGAAAAAACCGAUGUGCCAAUACCUGCCAGUUCGGUCCAGUUUCAUGAACUAUUCUUGUUGCUGGAGAACCAAGGCUUCUUUGAUUUUGAAACACAAUGUUUUCAAAUUCUGUGUUCUCGAAGGCUUUCAUGGCCAGGAUCUGAUGGUUGUUGUGAUGGUUCAGAACACGGCCAAACAGCCUGAAAAAUCCACAACAACCAUUUUCAAAUUCUGUUUUUCGUUCUAUUCUCCUUUUCUUACCUUUUAUCUACUGAAACAGGUUGUAUUUUAAAUAUAUUUUUAAAUGAAA